AGGUGAACCUGCGGAAGGAUCAUA
Molecule: non-coding RNA, 24 nt
Filed under: Mus musculus (house mouse)
Lineage: Eukaryota; Metazoa; Chordata; Mammalia; Rodentia; Muridae
Also listed under: 1 other name
Source: RNAcentral